GCCUCUGUUUUAUGUUUAUGGUGUUUUAUGUUUAUGGUGUACUAGAGACUUCUGUGCAGAUAUUUGUAUGAAGAUGAAGGUGUCAGUCAUUCUUGAAAUAAGCAGAGCUAUUACAUACUUUUCCUGUGGCUGUUAAACUACCAUUGAAGAGUAUGGUAAAAUUCAGUAGAAAUCUACAGUCUCUUUCUGCACAUUUGAUCUAGGUGGGGAUAUGUAUUACUUUAAGAGACUUAGAAAGUAUCUUUGAUUACUAUAGUUCUCUAAUCUCUGCCUAGUUGUAUCAGUUACAAAUGCAAAGGUAAACCUUAUACAUGUACUUUAUAAGUAAAGCUCUAGGAUGUAAGGUUUACUUUGACUUGCAUACUGUAUUCUCCUGUUCCCAGGAAGUUUGCAGAGUAAAUAAGACAGGCACAUGAUUAUAAAAGAAAACAGAAAAUGUUAAGUACCAAGAGGAAAGUACUGAUUAAGUGGUAUACUGAGUAAAAUAUUAACAGUAUAAACAUCUGUAUAUAAGGAAUAAAGGAACCAUGGGAUGA
RNAcentral lists this long non-coding RNA (536 nucleotides) under Bos taurus (domestic cattle). RNAcentral's name for it is "long non-coding RNA NONBTAT000076". Lineage: Eukaryota; Metazoa; Chordata; Mammalia; Artiodactyla; Bovidae. The record is from RNAcentral.